This 893-nucleotide ribosomal RNA is filed under the name uncultured crenarchaeote VAL159. Its description in RNAcentral is "bacterial SSU rRNA". It matches the Rfam family "Archaeal small subunit ribosomal RNA", at positions 1 to 872 of the family's 1478-position model. Lineage: Archaea; Thermoproteati; Thermoproteota. The record is from RNAcentral.
UUCCGGUUGAUCCUGCCGGACCCCACUGCUAUCGGGAUAGGACUAAGACAUGCUAGUCGUGCGCUUCCAGCUAACAUGGAGGCGCGGCACACAGCUCAGUAACACGUGGCUAACCUGCCCUUGGGACGAGAACACCCCCGGGAAACUGGGGCUAAUUCUCGAUAGGUGAAGAACUCUGGAAUGAGUCUUUGCUUAAAAGAUGCUAGAGUUAUGCUCUUUGGCCUCGCCCAAGGAUGGGGCCGCGACCGAUCAGGUUGUUGGUGAGGUAAUGGCUCACCAAGCCUUUUACCGGUGCGGGCCGUGGGAGCGGGAGCCCGGAGAUGGGCACUGAGACAAGGGCCCAGGCCCUACGGGGCGCAGCAGUCGCGAAAACUUUGCAAUAAGCGAAAGCUUGACAGGGCUAUCCCGAGUGCCAUCCGCUGAGGAAGGCUUUUACCCAGUCUAGAACGCUGGGGAAUAAGGAGAGGGCAAGUCUGGUGUCAGCCGCCGCGGUAAUACCAGCUCUCCGAGUGGUGUGGAUGUUUAUUGGGCCUAAAGCAUCCGUAGCUGGCUAAGUUAGUCCCCUGUUAAAUCCAAUGAAUUAAUCGUUGGAUUGCGGGGGAUACUGCUUAGCUAGGGGACGAGAGAGGCAGACGGUAUUUCCGGGGUAGGGGUGAAAUCCUAUAAUCCCGGGAAGACCACCAGUGGCGAAGGCUGUCUGCUAGAACGCGCCCGACGGUGAGGGAUGAAAGCUGGGGGAGCGAACCGGAUUAGAUACCCGGGUAGUCCCAGCUGUAAACGAUGCAGACUAGGUGUUUGAAUGGCCACGUGCCGUUCUAGUGCCGCAGGGAAGCUGUUAAGUCUGCCGCCUGGGGAGUACGAUCGCAAGAUUGAAACUUAAAGGAAUUGGCGGG